UACGUAGGGUGCGAGCGUUAAUCGGAAUUACUGGGCGUAAAGCGUGCGCAGGCGGUUGUGCAAGACCGAUGUGAAAUCCCCGGGCUUAACCUGGGAACUGCAUUGGUGACUGCACGGCUAGAGUGUGUCAGAGGGGGGUAGAAUUCCACGUGUAGCAGUGAAAUGCGUAGAUAUGUGGAGGAAUACCGAUGGCGAAGGCAGCCCCCUGGGAUAACACUGACGCUCAUGCACGAAAGCGUGGGGAGCAAACAGG
Molecule: ribosomal RNA, 253 nt
Filed under: uncultured bacterium
Lineage: Bacteria
Description: partial 16S ribosomal RNA
Rfam family: Bacterial small subunit ribosomal RNA
Source: RNAcentral